Long non-coding RNA from Sardina pilchardus (European sardine), 647 nucleotides. RefSeq lists it as uncharacterized. The transcript is spliced from 4 exons. NCBI's taxonomy places the organism in Eukaryota, Metazoa, Chordata, Actinopteri, Clupeiformes, Clupeidae. The record is from RefSeq and is a predicted model, not a curated record.
CCUGAUGGCACUACCCUGAUGAUGUUAGCCAUGGCUGCUGCCCUCAACAUGGUAGCCCUCAUAAAUAAACUGAUAUCAAGAAGUAACAUAGAUGGUGACAAGGGUGGCAAGGGUGCCUCAUGGCAAGGAGCCAUCCAGAAGUCCCAGCCUGGAGCCAGAGGCUGCUAUUACAAGUCAGAUGGGAGAUGGCCUACAGUAUGUUAGGCAUCAGAAAAGUGGUGUACGCAUGAAGGCAGAGUUGCCGCAGGCAACGAUGAGAUUAGACACUUGACAUUUACUGCGAAAGGUACCAUCAGAGCACCUCUCCCUACCCUGCAGGAUACCUAUACCAGAAGAGUACAACAACAGCCCAAAAGUAUUUCAAAAGACAUUUCACGCUCUGACCACGGACUGUUUAAACCACUGAGGUCAAGCAGACAUCUCUGUUCCCACGUGGCAGACUGAGGGAACACCCACAAAACAGACUGGGGAUGAGUUUCUUUACUCCGCAUCCUGUACACACACAACUCCUUAUACUACAUUACAUAGACUUGCCAUACUGCACUUACACACACUGCGCUUUUAACCCCCUUAUCUGUGUCAAAUCAUGUGUUCAAACCAUGUCUACUGUUGUCUGUCAACAUCCACUUCAGUCAUACAUUUGAAAU